GAUGAACGCUGGCGGCGUGCCUAAUACAUGCAAGUCGAGCGAACAGACGAGGAGCUUGCUCCUUUGACGUUAGCGGCGGACGGGUGAGUAACACGUGGAUAACCUACCUAUAAGACUGGGAUAACUUCGGGAAACCGGAGCUAAUACCGGAUAACAUGUUGAACUGCAUGGUUCAACAGUGAAAGACGGUCUUGCUGUCACUUAUAGAUGGAUCCGCGCCGCAUUAGCUAGUUGGUAAGGUAACGGCUUACCAAGGCAACGAUGCGUAGCCGACCUGAGAGGGUGAUCGGCCACACUGGAACUGAGACACGGUCCAGACUCCUACGGGAGGCAGCAGUAGGGAAUCUUCCGCAAUGGGCGAAAGCCUGACGGAGCAACGCCGCGUGAGUGAAGAAGGUCUUCGGAUCGUAAAACUCUGUUAUUAGGGAAGAACAAAUGUGUAAGUAACUAUGCACGUCUUGACGGUACCUAAUCAGAAAGCCACGGCUAACUACGUG
RNAcentral lists this ribosomal RNA (497 nucleotides) under uncultured bacterium. Its description in RNAcentral is "partial 16S ribosomal RNA". It matches the Rfam family "Bacterial small subunit ribosomal RNA", at positions 28 to 507 of the family's 1533-position model. The record is from RNAcentral.